UGCGCAGGACGACCUGUGUACGUAUCUUAAUUCGGGGACGACCCC
This 45-nucleotide non-coding RNA is filed under the name Hafnia alvei. RNAcentral describes it as "Guanidine-II sequence". It matches the Rfam family "Guanidine-II riboswitch aptamer (mini-ykkC)". From Rfam's summary of the family: Simpler in structure and has fewer highly conserved nucleotide positions than the ykkC-yxkD leader. Despite this each of its two stem-loop structures directly bind free guanidine. Therefore, mini-ykkC RNA motif represents a distinct class of guanidine-sensing RNAs. Lineage: Bacteria; Pseudomonadati; Pseudomonadota; Gammaproteobacteria; Enterobacterales; Hafniaceae. The record is from RNAcentral. RNAcentral also lists the same sequence under 1 other name.